AACAUAGCAGAGUUCUUGUUUUAUUGAUGCUGCAGGGAAAAUGGAUGCAAAUGUGAUAUCAAAGCAUCAGUAAGCAUGGACAGAGCAGAGGGGAGGAGAAGGCUGUUAGCCAAAGAGCCCCCGAAAGUCAAUCUAAGUACCAUAGUAAAGCUUUGCUUAUCAGUGUCUUCUAUUCCACCUAUGUGAGUGGCAGAAUUGCAAGUAGAGCAAAUAGGGAGAGAAAGUAUCUAUUUGCCAAGUUCCUCCUUUGUCUUUUUAGGAUUGUUUUCCUCAAUAUAUUUUCUAUUAACUGUUCUAAGUCCCAUGGGAACAAGUCCUUCCACCAAAACGUUUGUUCUGCUUAUGGCUCUCAAACAAGAUUCACAAGGAUGAUAAGUCUCCAACCACUUAUCCCAGCUAAACUGUACUUUAAGCAGUUUUAUUGCAAUUGUUUCCUGCCUCUCUACCCUGUCCUACUUUAUGCAGAAUUUCAAACCACAUUUUUCUAUGAGAGUCUCAAAGAAUCCUUUAUCAAAAUUUGUUAACACUCACCAUGUUUGGACUUGUGUAUUUCUUUCUAUAAAAUGUCUCCCUUGUUGCACAAACUUCUUAAAUAUUUUGAAAUGCUUUGUAAGUUGUUGAGGAUGUAUUUAAAAGAACAUUUUGCCAUGCCUAAUUUCUCACCAUAAAUAUAACAUCAUUGCAUUCUGGAAAAAAAAAUCACUUGAUUUUACACACAGCGAAUUAGUGUUAUGAAGUCAAUGGCUGAAAUCUGUCUGUCAGUGCUAAAGUGUAAGUACUAAUGUUUGCAGUAACAAAGACUGUAAUAAAAGUUCAUAUUCUGAGGGCCACACUCUCUUUGUAAGUGCUGCUGUGUGGAGCUAUAAACUUAGCUUGAGGUUCCCAGGUAAAAGCUAUUCUUCUGUGUACACAGAAUUACAUACAGAAAGCACUACAUGGAGAUUAAAACAUCUUCCUUAAAGGGUUAGUUGGCAGCUCUGCUUUACUGAAGUCCUGGAAUGCUUUCAAGGGAGGAAAGAAAGUCCAUUAAGAAAAAAAAACAAUCAUGAUAUGCUCUAUUUUUUAACAAAAUAAAUGCAGGCAUGAACCUGUGCAAAGUUCAGACACAAACUUGUUAACAUAAAUUCUUAUUAACAGUAAUCAUAUGGCAAGAAAUGAUUCAUCAGAUCAUUUUAAUUGGCAGACGUCUAUGCCACCCACAUAAAAGGUAACUCUACUACAGCUGUUCUGCUCUCUGUUUGCUCUGUAUCUGCUUGUUGAGCCAGAAGCCAUUAUGGUAUUAAUUUGACUAGCUCACAUCCAUAUGCCUCAUAUCUCCCCAUAGCUGUAGGAAUAGUUACAGCGUAGAAGGUGUUUCCAGGGCAUGAAAUCACACAGGAUUUUUUUAAAGGACUCUAGUAUAAGUUUCUGAUAACAUGUCUGAACCCAUGUUAAACAUGUUGAGUGCUAAUGGAAAAAGAGAGUGUUUCAGGUAGUGAGGGUUUUGAAACUAUGAUUCACUUCUGAAGAAUCAAACUGAAACCACGGCAUCUCUGAGAGAAGAGAUGGCUAAAAAUGGACUUGUCAAAUUUUAACUCUGGGGAAGAGAAUCGUUAAUAGGGUUAAAGGUGUUUUAUGAAGUGCUUAUGACAAGGUUGAUACUGGGAGCUAACAGAAAAGAUGACAGUUGUACAAAGGGGAUUAUAAAUAUUGUGCUGUUUUUCAUUGGUUUUGAUGCUGUCAAAAAGCAUUUGUUGUGACAGCACAUGCAGGUAAAUCAGCUGCAGAACAGUCAUGUACUCCAGGACUCAUGGAGAAUUGUGGGCGCUGUUGCUUGAGUCAGGACACCCCAGAAACACUCUGGGUGGUUCAUGGUCAGAAGAACGUUCUCCGAGUCGUGGAAAUGCGAAUUGCAAUUCAGCACAGAGGAAUUCAAAGCACACACAUGCAGAUAUCCAGGUAAUGCUUUGGGAAGCUGGUGCCAAACUUGUCUAAUAGAAGUUCAUGAGCAAAGCUACUUUGCAAUUCAGCAAAGUAUAAAUUUUACCAUUGAAAAUAUGCUAGAAAACGUCACUGGGGAACUUCUGGGGACAUGUCAGCACCUUCAGUACAUCCCAGCAUGGCACUUAAGUAUCAUUUUUCUCACAUAGCAGAGAGGGAAAUGGUAAUGAAACACUUGAAAAGGCAUUUUAGGUAGGAGAGAGAGCAUCAGAACCAAAGAGCAAGCCUUAACAAGAUGGGUCCCCACAUCACUGGGCAUCCUGCACUAGAAAGAAAGUCAAUAGCAACUGUAUAUUGACAGCUACCAUGCUCUCUGGACACAGCACUACAAAUACAGAACCGCCUGAUUAAGCUUUCAUUCUGUUGGUAAAUGUACUCAAUGAGGAGUAUAAUCCACACCGCAAUGAAAGAUGUUUGCACUCAGCUAAUUAAAUCUGAAGUUAUUCUUAAGAGGGGGAGAGAAUUGACAAGUCAUAUGGUGAAAUUGUAAAGAGAAAUAGCAAAACGUUCUUUUAGCAAGUCAAAACAAAUCCUCAGUUUCCCUGGAGUCACGCAGCACAUACUGUACAGCUCCAGAGAAGCAGAGUGUGCAAGUCAUAAAAGAACCCCAGGCACUUCAUUACUGGAAAUGAUGUAAGCUCCUGCCGCUCCUCUGCAGAAACGACACCAAAACAAUGCCGGGGCCGCCGCCGCUGUCGGAGGCAGCUGCUCUCAAUGCCGGAGCUGGCCGAGCCCUCCGAGCCGCUGAGGCUCAACAAUGAAAGGCUUUCUGGGCAACAGCUCUUCGUGUGCCACCAGUACCUGGCAACCUGUGUCAGGGCAACCUGAAGGAUCUGCGGCUCUUCAAGUGGCCACGGUAUUUUGAAUGCUAAGCUGCUCGAAAAGCGAAACGAGUCCUCCCCAAGAAAAUUGUCAAAACGCUGAUGCUCUCCUUGUCCAGGCAGGAGAGGCUGAGCAUUUGGGGAGAGCACAUCCAUGCAGGCAAAGGAGGAAAGUCAUCUCUCCAGCUCUCCUGCGGCACAGACUGCUCGGCAGGAGGACUCAGAGGCAGAACACUACAGGAUCACAGGACGCGUGAAAAAUUUGGAGAAAUUCUCACUUCACACACAGGGACCUUUCAAACUAUGAAAGCUAGUUUAAUUCACACAAGGAAGUGAAUUUAAAGGGCUGUAUAAAUACCCUGAUAAAUAUGUUCUUGGACAUAGAUCAAGGAGUGAAGUUCUGCAUGGAAACUGAUCUGACUGGAGAGUCAAGUCAAAGUAGUCUUGUGAAUCAUUAAAUUGUUUAGAUCCAGAGUUAAUCAGAAAUCCCUUGUUCAGAAUAGUAAAAGAACCCUCAGUUUGACAAAACAGACUAGUUUCCACAGUUUUUUCCAGAGAGCACAUGGUGCUGAAGCAGGUACACAUUCCUCUCCUAGGGCAUAUGUGAGGUUUAAUCCAGAAACUAGUUAAGUCAUGCACAAGAAUCCUCAGACAGCCAAAGCACUUUGAAUCAGGCUCACUGUUUCCAAUGCAUCAGUCCUCCAAGUCAUGCUCUACUUUUCCUUUUGAUCUUUACCCUAUUUCUGUGGACUGCCAUCAGGUUACAGUUUAAUCCCAAAUACCUAGUGAAAAAAACACUCUCUCCAGAUUUAAAAAAAAAAAAAAAAAAAGCACCAAGGUUUUUGUCUUCCUAGCCAGUAUUUCCAAACAACUAGCUCAUGAGACAGGAAUUUGGAACAGGGAGUGUCAACCACCCAGUUCAGAAGGAAGUCUAAUGAUAAAAAAAAUAAUCCCAGAUUGCAUAAUAAUAAAGGCUUGAAUUUGAAUGUUUCAUUGUAAGAGUACUUCAGUUGUUUAAACAUGCUCACUAGGGGAGAUGAGCCCUCAGGAACAAACAUCAGCAUGCAAACACAAAUUUUUAACUGAGUGAAUGGGUGCUCAGGAGAACCCCAAGGCAGAUUAAUAUUUGUGAAGGGAUCAAAUUCAUGCAGUGCUUUGAACAGUUCAUGUGAUGAGACACAUCAGUAAUAUCUUUCUAAUUUGGCAGUCUUAUAUAAACCUGAUUAACAAGAAUACACGAACGUGCAAAUUUAAAAUUAAGUAAUAUAACAGUGCUUCUUCUGAGAAAAAGCAUGAAAUCCACAGUUUGAAAGGAACAACAAAGGACACAACUUUCUCAGCACAAGAAAGAUGUGGACUUGUUGGAGUGGGUCCAGAGGAAGUCCAUGAAGAUGGUCAAUUGGUUGAAACACCUCUCCUGUGAAGACAGGCUCAGAGAGCUGGGGAUGUUUAGCCUGGAGAAGGCUCCACAAAGGCCUCACUGUCGCCUUCCAGUAUCUUAGGAAGGAGGGAGAGGGAUUUUUUUGUAUGAGCAGAUAGUGACAGGACAAGGGUAGUGGUUUUAAACUGAAAGAGGGCAGGGUUAAAUUAGAUGCUAAGCAGAAAUUUACCCAAAGGGUGGUCAGGCACUGGAGGGUGCCCAGAGAACUUAAGGAUGCACCACCCCUGGAAGUGCUCAAGGCCAGGUUGGAUACUGAGUAACCGGGUCCAGUGGGUGGUGCCCCUGCCCAUGGCACAGGGAUUGGAAGGAGAUGAUCUUUAAGAUUGCUUUCAACCCAAACCAUUCUAUGAGUCAACAAUUCUAACUUGCACACAGCUAAGUAUAAGGAUAAAAAGCAGGAGUUCUUCCAUGCUGCAUAGAUGGACCUCAGUCUUGUGAUUUACUGUCUGUUAAAUGGGUGCAUUAACAGUGCUGCCCUUGCACCUCACACAGCUGCCACACACAACGUGGAUAUAGGCACAUCUCAGCAGACCUAAGCUUCAGUGCUGCAGCAGCCUCUGGGUUUAGAGGUGCACAGCUUGAUUUGCCUUGUUAGAAUCAAACCAUAUGCUUACUUCCUUAUUUUUUUGAGUUUUGGGGGGAAUGCUUGAAAGUAGGGUUUCAGAUCCUGUAUUGUUAUUUUUACAUGCAAAAAAAUGGUAUGAAAACAGAGCAUGCAUUAUCUUAAUAAAAAACCAAGCAGAUGGUUUCUGAGGAUGUAGAGAUUUACUAUUACAAAACUGAAGCAAAGUCUUUUAUAAGAAGUUUUAAACUGCCUGAGGGAAUAAUACCACAUGAGUUAUGGAUGUCAUUAUCCCAAAUGAGAACUACUGAAAUCUAGAUACCACACCAUCAGGAAUUCUGCCAAGGCCACACUUUUUCCAGACCUCCCUCACUGCCAAGCUGAUACCUUAUUUGAUGAAAGCCUAAGCUUCACUGGCUUAGGAAACAAGCAAAACAUCUAGCCAAAAUCCUGCAGAAAUUUAUACAAAGUAUUUAAUCUAUUUUUACGGCACACAGUAGCACCACAGACUUACUAUACCAUGUACUUGUAGGUUUAAAGCUGGUGCUGGUGACCUUUUCAUAAGUCUGGACAUUUCUGUUUGUAAGUUGGGUGCCUCCAGCUUCCCAGAUGGAUACAGUGAAGGAUCUCCUGAAGGUGAGACUAAAUAUGGCUCAUCUUGCAUCUCAAAUGAAUUGAGUUGGAAAAUCUGCAUGUGCAUACCCAGUGGAUGACAGGUGAAUAUUUCUCCAGCAGAUUUUUUUUCUCCUUUUAAUUUCUUCUGCUGGAAGCUGCUGAUGCCAGUCAGAAGCUUAAUUGCUAUCCCUGGGAAGCUGAAUUACUGUGCAGAGAACAGGUGAGACAGCCAGAGGUAUCUGCUAAAUGCAGUUUAUCACUAGGAUAUUAUCACAAAUUAUGGAUGUACGGACAAAAUCCAGGGCAUGUAGGCUUCCUAGGAGACUCACUUUACUUCUUGUACCACACAAGCACUGCUGAACUUCUCUCUCUAUAAAAAUGACCAGUACAUUAACAGCACACAACUUAAGCAAUUCAGCUCUUGUGGCCCAAAAGUCAGGAGUCUAUAAACAACUGAAUCUCUGGAAAAAAGAUUUCACAUUAACUGAAAGUUAUUACUUAGAGUGGAUCACUGAUGGCUUAUAAUAUUUAAGUCCCAAAACUUGUAAACUUUACCGGUGUCAAGCAAUUAGCACUUGGCUCUAUUUACAGCUAUAUGCACACAGGCAUCAUAUAUACCUGCUGAAAUUCAGUCAGGCUGAGAGAAACCAGAAGAGAAACAGUUUUGGCCUUGCCCCUAAGCUUUGGCUAAAAACAAAGCAUCUGGAAAAACACCACCAAGAACUUCAAGGAUGUGAGUCUGUUCAGGACAGAAUCUCUCCUAUAAAUUUGAAGAUUCAAAUGCUUUAGUAGAGUCGUGGUAGAAGGUCUCUGAUACAGAAUAUCAACCUCUACAUUCAGUCAAACACAAUGAAGGACAAGAAAAUAGGAAAACAUUACAGCAGAGUGGUCUUUUUUAGUCAGCAUGUGAAUUAUUUACCAUCUUUUCACAUGUACAGCACUUUUUUUUUUUUUUCCUGAGAAAAUUGGGAAGCACUGCUUGAUCUGUUGCUUAAACUAAGUCUGGCAAACCAUUCAAAUGCUUUCUGCGCUUUACCAAAACUUUAUUUCCCCCCAGUACUGGAGCAGUAAUGCAAAACACGAAACCUUAUAAUUUUAGAUAAAAAUAGGGUACUUGAAAGUAUUUUAUGUUUCAGAACUUAUAUGUCAUAAAAUCAUCAUAGUAAGAAAUUAAUAAGCUUUCUGAAUAUCAGUACUUCCAUUUUGUAAAAGGCACUUAUGGAAAGCAAAGAAAACCUUGUGAAAUAUGGUAGUUUACCCCACUUAGAUCCAGAAUGUGUAACAGUAAAUAAAUAUAAUGAUAUUCAGCUUAAUGAAAUCAGAUUUUUUUCCUAUAUAUUUUCCAGGAAGCAACUUCACUGGCACUGGCACUUUGAUAUAACGCUUUGUUAUGUAUUACUGCAGCACUCUCAAGUUCCAGAAUUUGCAUCUUUUCCCCUCGGCAGUAAUGUUAAUAAAACAAAAUGGGCAAUUUUUUUUAAAUGUGGACUUGUGCUAACCAAAUACAGACACAUCUAUGUAAACAGAGCUAAAUAAAAACACAGUACAAGAACCAAACUCAAAGUUUUCUGAAACACAGGGGGUUGAACUGUCUGCAAGUAUCUAGUCACUGUAGUUAGAAGAUGUAUUUAGAAGUUUUCUGAGCAUGCUCUGAAAAACUCAACACUUAUUUCUUUGCCUACUGCAUAAUGUAAAGAAUUUGUCUGCAAGUGCACAUUGCAAGUUCCUGGUGCUAAUAACUCCAAACCUGUCUCUUGAUUACAUUUCUAAAUUGGAUUUGGAUUCUUGAAAACCUCACCCAAACUGUGAAUAUAAAACCUAAUUUCUAGACUGUGUCAGUAGCUAACAUUUAAACAUGCCAAAAGUCAGUGUUCCAUAGUGGAGCUCACAUGUUCCGCUCUGUCUGGGCAUGUCACCUUAGGUGCUGUUUCUUGAAAUUACCAUGUAAUAGUAGCAACUACUGGUGCUGGCCAUGUUAAUACACUCUUGUAUAUAUGCUCUCCCUUCAGUUGCAGAAGGAAUAGUUAAUAUCUGAGCAUCCAGGAGGCUUAAACACUAUCAAACCUGGAGAUACAUCAAGACAGAUGUGUGGUCAGAACCAAGCCCACAUAUAAGUAUCAGUCUCCUGAUCUUUACUGAAGCAAGUACUGUGUGUGAUGUGCCUUCCUUCACAGUUUGUAAAGAACUGGAUUUUGUCCUUCCUGAACCUCUGCUGCCGAUGUCUCAUCGUUUUCAUGGUGGCAGAGUGAUGAUAAAGCAAGUUUACCAGUCAUUUUAGGAGGAGCUUGUCACAAAUUUGACUGAGAAACAACAAUUUGAAAUUGUAUAGUUCUGUCACAGGAGGUUGGACUAAAGAACAUCCCUUCUGAAUCUCUGAAUUCCAGAAACCAACCUGUGAACCUAAAGGAGACUUAAGCAAGCCAAUUAUCUCUGAGUAAUCUAAUCAUGUAGCAUUUAAGUUAUCUAGGUAUUAAUCUUGCAUCACUCUUUUCAACAUUAUGGAAAGGACUUUGUUUUAAGCUCUUCACUGUAGCUAACUUUCAAAAGGCAACACUUGGCUGGGGUAUUGACAUUUCAAAGUGUGAUUUCCAUAUAAGAAAAAAAUGUCUGUAAAAGUUGUUCCCUCUUCCUCAGUCUGGAAAUGAACCUUUGUUUGCUGCUGAUGUUAGCAAGAACACAAGUUUCUACUGGUUUUUACCCCCAGUGAUUUUCUGAAUACUUAAUAAACUUAAGGUAGGGUAACCAGAAUUCUGUAUUAUUGCACACAUUGGUAUCAAGCUGGUCUCACAGAAUUUGAUUAGUGAUGCAUCUCAAUUGGCUUAGAAAUUAAUUAGUUUAAAUUGCUACAAACCCACCCCUGAUGUGGAGAUACUUAGAAGUGACUAUAACUGUUAAUGUCUUUUUUUUAAAACUUAAAUGAAAAUGAAGGAAAUAAGAGUGAUUCUUUAAAAUAAUUUAUUGUGACUAACUGCAUCAGUUCAAUGAUUUUGAAGUAAUUUCCUUUUACGCCAUGGUGUGCAAACAAGCUGUACACUGUUAUCAGUUAUAUCCAUUCCAAUCCAGUAAAAACUGUAAGUAUCAUUUAACCCAGUAAGAAUUUGUGAAAUUUAAUUUUCUGGGUCAUAAUCAGUUUUCAGAGUUUCUGUAUUUGAGUUUAGUUAUGCCUGCAUGGUUUGCUUACUUUUAUAUCUGGGAUUUUUUGUUUAAACUACACUAAGCCAGAGAACACAAUGAACAUGCAUUGUUCUAAUGUAUUGUUAUUAAUGACAUUUUCAAAGCUGGCCUACAAUGGGAAAGUUCUGCACUAUGAGACAGCUGAGUGAAAUAUACUCAAAAAAUGAAGAGGAGCUUCCCGAGCAGUUUUCCUGAAUUUAGUGCUUAGUCCUGUGGGUUAAAGUCGCAGCUGGGAGCGUAUCUGGGAGAAGGGAGGAGCAUGUAAGAACUGGAGUAUUCCCAGUGUGUUUCCACUGGCUGGCCCUGGGAUCUGCAGCACAACAGCUUUUGCACUGUUAUUUCCCCUUGAUGCUCAUCAUCACUACCAAGAGUACAGCCUUGCAAGACACUGGAAGUACUGACUCAGGAGCUUGGACGGUGCCAUAAACUUAAUGCAACCAAGCACUUCUGCUGUCUCAAUAAUGCUUCCAUCUUGCUAUCAGAUUUCUUCUCACAGACCCAGAUCCUGAAGGGUCCUAAUGAGAAAUGACUCUUCAUGUUACAAAUGCCUCCUCUGCUGUCCCUGCAACCUGCCUGGCAGAGCCUUUUGAGCUUUAAGGUAAUAUCUCAAUGAUUAGUUUUGAAUGUAAGUCAUGCUUGCCAUUUCAGAUUUUAACUGUUUAUAGUGCUCUUGGGUUUACACAAAUUGACAGCUCCAAUGUUUGCUGUUGCACUUUUGUCUUAAGAGGUAUUCAGCAUGGUUUUGUGUUUUGGGUGAUGACAACAUAUUCUUUCAGGCCUAUAAAACAGUUUGUUUUGUAUAUCUGUACUUAAUGGAGGACAGUUGCUACAGCCACAAGCUCUUGUGCAGCUUCUACCCAUUCCCCAGCAAGCCAAUGUUCUCCAGGACAAACAAGAGGAUUGAUUAUAAAAGCUUCUGUAGAGAAAUGUUUUUUCCCAUCACUUCAGUGCUACAAUGCUGUUGCAGAAGAAACACUUGCACUACUCAGGAGCUGUGAGCAAGUCACAGAGAAAUGACACAGGUGACACUCAGUGUAAUGGCUGUGGAAAGUUAAGCACCGUUUCAAUAACAGAAACUAAAAGCAGUCAGAGCAGAAGCAUUCAUUACAUGCACAGAAAAAGCAGACAGUGACUCUCCACUUUAGUCCUUUGUCUUGGAAGUUCAGCAGUGAAUUGGAGAAGCUUUCCACCUGGCCCAGCAUUGUGUGAAGUGUAAUGGAAUUGGGUCAGUUUGUUCACUGAAAUGUUCUUCUAAAAGAUACUGGCAUAGAUUCACCUUGGGGCUGACUGUGUGCUUUCUUUCAGCCAGUUACUGCAGAUUGAGCAGUUGCAAGAGCCUCUCUAUGGAGAGUCCAGGGGAUGCACUUUUCUUUGUCAUGGCCAGCUGAAACUUCAUGAGCAGAAGGCGGCCAGACUUUUAGCAGGCAUAAAAUGCAGGUAUAGCUGCUGAAAGGGCAGCCUAUUUCCAGUAUAUAGAUAACCCACUUGAUUCUUUCCUAUCUGUGUAUCCAUGUAUCCAUAAAUUUGCUUCCAUGGAAGACUAGAUCAGCUGGGGAGAUGGUUGCAGCCUGGUCAUGUUCUACAGGCAGGACUCUGAGGAAGCAGGACUCUGAGAAUAUGUGGACUUUACCAGUCAAGACACAGGCACUCUGACUGAGUAUGGGCCUGUGUGGAUGGACCAGGAGAAAAGACUCCUUUAAUUAACAAGUGAAAAAGAUUACUUCUUAUUGCCUGCUCAUUUGGCUCUUGAUACUAAACUGCAAGGCUCUUGUAGUGUGAAGAGACGUAAAAAAAUCGCUGGAGGGUGAGUGGGUAUUACGCAGCAACUGCUUGGUACAAAGGAGCAGUACAUUGGAAUCAGCACUGAAAACUGGUGAAGAGCACCAGAUCCUCAAACAUCAUUAGAAUUAAUGGUUUCACCAUUUACGUUUUGUGGAGUUCUGUCACCUGAACAUUUUUCGUUGGGUAGAAACCUCAGACUAUUUACAAACACUGUGUCCUGAGGCACUUCUUUCUCCAGUAGAACAAUAACUCCCUCUGGUGUUUGCCUGCUAUUGUUACUGCCUCAGCCACAGGCCUGGGAAACCCUGCCAGAGGAAGGAAACCCUGUCAGAUGAUGUAUGAACUAUAAACAUUCUUUCCUUAACCGAUGGCAUUUUACGCUUUGGGCAGAAAGGCCAUUGCGCCCACCGGCUCGGCCCCAGGGGCGCUCAGGUCUGCAGGGAACAUCACUGCAUCGGGAAAAGUGGAAUGCCGAACUCCGCUGCUGCCGAGGGCUCAUGCUGCCAAAGACUCAUUUACAUGCUCCCUGAAUUUAUUUAAUUACAUGAACAGUAGGCUUAUUGCAAUGUGUCUGGAUGCUUUAUUUGAUGAAUGCUGGAACUUACCGAUCCAGUCCCGAGAGGGUUGGGAUACACAUAGGGCUAUGUCAAAUGGCUGGAUGAUAGUUCAGAGUUAAUGAAUUGCUGUGUUCAGCUCUUGGGACAGACAAUGUAGAACUGUCAUUCAGCUGCAAACAUAUUUACAGGAAUGCUGUCACAGCUUUGAGGGUCAAAUCUGACCUACAAGAAAGUUACAAGCUACAUCUGCUGGCAAGGAAGCAAAAUGAGAUGCAAGAGAAUUAAGCUCCUGCCCUUUGGGCUAGACCGUAUUAAUCUACUGGCGUAAUAAUGCUGAUUGCAAAUUUUCUUAAUCUCAAAUUUAUGAGGAAAUCUAAACUUUUAGUCUUAAAUACAUAUUGCACAAUAAUUUUUAAGUACACACUCAAAAAUUUUUUUUUUCAGAUUUCAGCUGCGAUCAGAUGAUGAAAACAAAUCUCAGGACAAGAUGAAAGACAUUAAAUGUUUGAGUUAUGCAUUUUGCCAAAGAGAAGAGGCUAUUUUGAUGGGCUGUUUAAUAUAAAUUUCUUCCUGUGAUCAUUGAACUGGAUGCUCACUCCAAACAGCCCAGAGGCUUUUUAUAUGUGACCUAAAUGUCUGGAUUUUUUCUCUUUUCUUCUGUUCUAUCACAGAACAGAAAUCUGUAAGCUGAUUAUUGUUGCUUAAUUCACUUCUGAAUGCAAACAUCUUUGCAUAUUUCAGACACUGCUAUAUAGAGCUGAAAUCAGAAAAGCUAAAAGAGCUUGAGAGCUCAGUCUAAAUCCCAACUGUCUGGCUCCCUGGCCAAUGCCUUGCAUUAUACAAAGUGUGUAGCCGUCCUACACCUUUGAUGUAAAACAACUCUCUUUUAAUGUGCUUUAAUCUCUUAUUCCCUUUGUCUAUCACAUAAUAAUCCUCUUGCUCAUGGUAAUCCUCAAAAUCACAUAUGCUCUUUAAAGCUUUUCUUUUGGAAAGUAUUCACACCCAUUUUUCUGGGCACUGGCAACUAAAUAUUACAGAAAACCUGAUUCUUCUGACUUUGACCAAGACAAUCUGAAUUUUUUGUAUUCCACAUUUACUGCUUGGCUGGAACUGGGUCAACAACAUGAGUAAACAGUUUCUAGUUGUCCAAUAGAA
This is a long non-coding RNA of Parus major (Great Tit), 12087 nucleotides long. RefSeq lists it as uncharacterized. NCBI's taxonomy places the organism in Eukaryota, Metazoa, Chordata, Aves, Passeriformes, Paridae. The transcript has 6 exons. The record is from RefSeq and is a predicted model, not a curated record.